UCCACCGCAACAUAGAAUUUCAGGAAUUCAUUACCGACCUCCGGAAACCUUUUCUCAGAGCCUUUCUCUACUCUCAUUGUCUUCUCAGUGCCUUUGAUAGCUACAAAAUUGAAAAUAAAUAGUGAUGAGUACGUCUCUGUGCAAAAGAAAUUAACAAAAAUGCCAAAGGCACACUUCUAGACUUCACAGGUUCUUCAACAUUUAAGCAAAAGUCAAGCAUAUUCCUAGUGAAAAGAUAAAAAGAAAGUACACAAUUUCAAGUAUUUUUCUUUGUGAGGUCGUGCUUUGGAGGAAUGGAUCAAGCUUUUAUUGCCAGUGGAAGCGAGGACUCACAGCUUGCUGGAAGCCAUUGAUUACAUUCUUGAAGGUGCCCAGAACCUGGUUAUACCAAUUCAAAACUACAGGAGCACCCCUUUGAGGAAAAAACUUUUGAGUAAAGCAUCAUCUCUGAGUCCCACGAAUCACAACGGUGUUGAAUACUGCAAGGCAUAGGUAAUUGACUCUUAAGAAUAUGAGUGAUUCGCCAUCAUCCGUUGCCGGUGUUCCUUGUACUCCUACUACUCCAAGUACUCCAGAUAUCUCUAUUGGGUCUACUAGCAGCUCAUCGUCAUCUAGUCGGUUGGUCAUCUCAG
Lycium barbarum (goji berry) is the source of this 632-nucleotide long non-coding RNA. RefSeq lists it as uncharacterized. The record is from RefSeq and is a predicted model, not a curated record. The transcript has 3 exons. NCBI's taxonomy places the organism in Eukaryota, Viridiplantae, Streptophyta, Magnoliopsida, Solanales, Solanaceae.